Molecule: ribosomal RNA, 434 nt
Filed under: Staphylococcus aureus
Lineage: Bacteria; Bacillati; Bacillota; Bacilli; Caryophanales; Staphylococcaceae
Description: partial 23S ribosomal RNA
Rfam family: Bacterial large subunit ribosomal RNA
Source: RNAcentral
CUGAAACCGUGUGCUUACAAGUAGUCAGAGCCCGUUAAUGGGUGAUGGCGUGCCUUUUGUAGAAUGAACCGGCGAGUUACGAUUUGAUGCAAGGUUAAGCAGUAAAUGUGGAGCCGUAGCGAAAGCGAGUCUGAAUAGGGCGUUUAGUAUUUGGUCGUAGACCCGAAACCAGGUGAUCUACCCUUGGUCAGGUUGAAGUUCAGGUAACACUGAAUGGAGGACCGAACCGACUUACGUUGAAAAGUGAGCGGAUGAACUGAGGGUAGCGGAGAAAUUCCAAUCGAACCUGGAGAUAGCUGGUUCUCUCCGAAAUAGCUUUAGGGCUAGCCUCAAGUGAUGAUUAUUGGAGGUAGAGCACUGUUUGGACGAGGGGCCCCUCUCGGGUUACCGAAUUCAGACAAACUCCGAAUGCCAAUUAAUUUAACUUGGGAGUC